ACAUCCCGGAGACCUUAGGAAACUAGGGGUGCUUCCAUCUGGAAGAAUCUGGAGACAGGUGCUGCAUGGCUGUCGUCAGCUCGUGUCGUGAGAUGUUGGGUUAAGUCCCGCAACGAGCGCAACCCUUGCCUUUAGUUGCCAGCAGUUCGGCUGGGCAACUCUAAAGGGACUGCCGGUGGUUAAACCGGAGGAAGGUGGGGAUGACGUCAAGUCCUCAUGGCCUUUAUGACCAGGGCUACACACGUACUACAAUGGCCGAUACAAAGGGCAGCGACACUGCGAGGUGAAGCCAAUACCCGUAAAAUCGGUCUCAGUCCGGAUUGGAGUCUGCAACUCGACUCCAUGAAGUUGGAAUCGCUAGUAAUCGUGGAUCAGCAUGCCACGGUGAAUACGUUCCCGGGCCUU
Molecule: ribosomal RNA, 405 nt
Filed under: uncultured Desulfobulbus sp.
Lineage: Bacteria; Pseudomonadati; Thermodesulfobacteriota; Desulfobulbia; Desulfobulbales; Desulfobulbaceae
Description: bacterial SSU rRNA
Rfam family: Bacterial small subunit ribosomal RNA
Source: RNAcentral